This 1224-nucleotide long non-coding RNA is filed under the name Fragaria vesca (wild strawberry). RNAcentral's name for it is "long non-coding RNA (FVES_LNC004082)". The record is from RNAcentral. Lineage: Eukaryota; Viridiplantae; Streptophyta; Magnoliopsida; Rosales; Rosaceae.
ACUAAUAAUGAAGGAAACAAUCAUUUUGUCGCUAAUUGGUUCUUUUGACGAGGAAAUAAUUUCUCGCAGAUUAUAGACUUUUAGUGAUGAAACCUUACUUUUGUCGUCAUAAAGUUUGGCGGGUCUCCCACUAUUUUCCGCCAAAAAAAUAACGAUGAAAUCAUGAUUUCCUCGUUGAAUGUUUAUUUUGCGAUGAAAAAGUUCCUCACCAAAAGUUUAUAUUUCCACGCUAAUAAAAUCACGAAUAAGGAGACCAAAUUAUGAUAAUCUUUGGUGAGGAACUAAAAGUUUUGUCGUAGAAAGUGGUUUAUUGCGAGGAAAAUAUGUUUCUCGUAAAAAACCUAAUGAUAUUUAGUGAGAAACAAAUAUAUUCCUCUUUAAAAAUGACAUUUACUGAGGAAAAUAAAUUCCUCGCAGAAAAUUUGGUCGCUAAAAGGCCUUUCUGUUGUAGUGAAGAUUAAGAAUCUGGGAAGGUUCUUCUCGCUUAAUGCGCUGUAACCGCUCCGUCAAGUUCUUGAAAGCUGCGUCAGUUAAUCCAGGAAUACGAAUUUCCUUAUCGGACAUUCAUAACCCUACAGAAAUGAAAUAACAAAAUAAGAAUAAAAAUUAAACAUAAACAAAGUAACUAAAAUUUAAAAACGAGCUCAAACAUAAAAGGACUUAGAACUAAGUAAACAACAUUUUACAAAGGUUCUAAAUUACAACGAUCUGUUUGAGUUAACAGUUAUAAGUUUUAUAAAUUUUCAAACUCGAAUCUUAAGUGGUAAACCAAUGAUAAAUAGGUAUGAGUGUCUUGAUACAAAUGUUUCCGUGGUUUCAGAAGACUUGAAUGGCCAGGCCGAAGUGAAACGGGCUGGUAGGACUUCGUUUGUAAUGGGCUACGGAGGUUGAAACCCCUAUCGUCCUUACGCACAGUCUAUAACUCUUUGAAGUCCAAUUUUGGUCCCAGGCGCUUACUCAGACCUAGUCACCAUCCAAAAUGUCCCUUACUCAGUUAGGAAACACUUGUAUGUUUGACAUUUGUACAAGAGUUAAUAAGAUCCGCCCUCAACUCCAAAAGACCUUUGAAAAGGUACCAAUGAAGGGUUUAGGAUCCUAUUAACUAAAGUAACCUUCAAUGGUUUACAAAACAAGAUAAGUACUUGAAAAUAAAUAAAACAAACAACAAUUAGUCAGAUUUACAAUAGUAUAAAUAUUUAAACAAAUAAGUAACCUAAAACCGAA